GGCGAAUAUAGCUCAAUUGGUUAGAGUGUCAAAUUGUGGCUUUGGAAGUUGCGGGUUCGAAUCCCGUUAUUCACC
RNAcentral lists this transfer RNA (75 nucleotides) under Monodopsis sp. MarTras21. RNAcentral's name for it is "tRNA-His". It matches the Rfam family "tRNA". Rfam says of the family: Transfer RNA (tRNA) molecules are approximately 80 nucleotides in length. Their secondary structure includes four short double-helical elements and three loops (D, anti-codon, and T loops). The record is from RNAcentral. Lineage: Eukaryota; Eustigmatophyceae; Eustigmatales; Monodopsidaceae.